UGCAAGCGUUAAUCGGAAUUACUGGGCGUAAAGCGUGCGUAGGUGGUUUCUUAAGUCUGCUGUGAAAGCCCUGGGCUCAACCUGGGAAUGGCGGUGGAUACUGAGGAGCUAGAGUGCGGUAGAGGAGGGUGGAAUUCCCGGUGUAGCGGUGAAAUGCGUAGAGAUCGGGAGGAACAUCAGUGGCGAAGGCGGCCCUCUGGACCAGCACUGACGCUGAGGCACGAAAGCGUGGGGAGCAAACAGG
Molecule: ribosomal RNA, 244 nt
Filed under: uncultured bacterium
Lineage: Bacteria
Description: partial 16S ribosomal RNA
Rfam family: Bacterial small subunit ribosomal RNA
Source: RNAcentral